Molecule: ribosomal RNA, 1156 nt
Filed under: Acinetobacter sp.
Lineage: Bacteria; Pseudomonadati; Pseudomonadota; Gammaproteobacteria; Moraxellales; Moraxellaceae
Description: bacterial SSU rRNA
Rfam family: Bacterial small subunit ribosomal RNA
Source: RNAcentral
CCGGACCUAGCGGCGGACGGGUGAGUAAUGCUUAGGAAUCUGCCUAUUAGUGGGGGACAACAUCUCGAAAGGGAUGCUAAUACCGCAUACGUCCUACGGGAGAAAGCAGGGGAUCUUCGGACCUUGCGCUAAUAGAUGAGCCUAAGUCGGAUUAGCUAGUUGGUGGGGUAAAGGCCUACCAAGGCGACGAUCUGUAGCGGGUCUGAGAGGAUGAUCCGCCACACUGGGACUGAGACACGGCCCAGACUCCUACGGGAGGCAGCAGUGGGGAAUAUUGGACAAUGGGGGGAACCCUGAUCCAGCCAUGCCGCGUGUGUGAAGAAGGCCUUAUGGUUGUAAAGCACUUUAAGCGAGGAGGAGGCUACUCUAGUUAAUACCUAGGGAUAGUGGACGUUACUCGCAGAAUAAGCACCGGCUAACUCUGUGCCAGCAGCCGCGGUAAUACAGAGGGUGCGAGCGUUAAUCGGAUUUACUGGGCGUAAAGCGUGCGUAGGCGGCUUAUUAAGUCGGAUGUGAAAUCCCCGAGCUUAACUUGGGAAUUGCAUUCGAUACUGGUGAGCUAGAGUAUGGGAGAGGAUGGUAGAAUUCCAGGUGUAGCGGUGAAAUGCGUAGAGAUCUGGAGGAAUACCGAUGGCGAAGGCAGCCAUCUGGCCUAAUACUGACGCUGAGGUACGAAAGCAUGGGGAGCAAACAGGAUUAGAUACCCUGGUAGUCCAUGCCGUAAACGAUGUCUACUAGCCGUUGGGGCCUUUGAGGCUUUAGUGGCGCAGCUAACGCGAUAAGUAGACCGCCUGGGGAGUACGGUCGCAAGACUAAAACUCAAAUGAAUUGACGGGGGGCCCGCACAAGCGGUGGAGCAUGUGGGUUUAAUUCGGAUGCAACGCGAAAGAACCUUACCUGGCCCUUGACAUACUAGAAACUUCCAGAGAUGGGAUUGGGUGCCCUUCGGGGAAUCUAGAUACAGGUGCUGCAUGGGCUGUCGUCAGCUCGUGUCGUGGAGAUGGUGGGGUAAGUCCCGCAACGAGCGCACCCCUUUCCUACUUGCCAGCAUUUCGGAAUGGAACUUAAGGGUCUGGCCAGUGACAAACUGGAGGAGGGCGGGGACGACGUCAAGUCAUCAUGUGGCCUUAGCGCCGAUGGGCCUCACCACACGUGU